ACAUUUCUAGCUGAUACAAGUGGGACUAAUAUUUACAUUACAUGCAUUUUUCAUGUAAAGUAGUAGCAUUUCGAAACCUCCUGCUCAUUGUCCUAACACUGAAUCACAAGCUCCACAAGAAACAACUCUCCAUCCCUUAAAAGGCUCACCAUGAUAAGUAAAUAGAAACUAUAUAGAGGAAUACAUCUUGACUAAUGGUAGACUCAAUGACAAUAUCAAUAUGUAUUGGCGACACUUAAAAAUUAUGAACAAUGUCGAGAAUAACUGAAAAAGUACAGAGGAAUUCAUAUAUUGACUACUUGUAGAUUCAAUGAAAACAUCAAUAUGUAUUGGUGACAUUUAUAAAUUUUCUGAAUAAUUCCAAGAAUAGG
This 371-nucleotide long non-coding RNA is filed under the name Nicotiana benthamiana. RNAcentral's name for it is "long non-coding RNA (NBEN_LNC039513)". The record is from RNAcentral. Lineage: Eukaryota; Viridiplantae; Streptophyta; Magnoliopsida; Solanales; Solanaceae.